GUGCCAGCAGCUGCGGUAAUACGUAGGGCGCAAGCGUUGUCCGGAAUUAUUGGGCGUAAAGAGCUCGUAGGCGGUUUGUCGCGUCUGCUGUGAAAGCCCGGGGCUCAACCCCGGGUCUGCAGUGGGUACGGGCAGACUAGAGUGCAGUAGGGAGGACUGGAAUUCCUGGUGUAGCGGUGAAAUGCGCAGAUAUCAGGAGGAACACCGAUGGCCGAAGGCAGGUCUCGUGGGCU
Molecule: ribosomal RNA, 233 nt
Filed under: uncultured Kocuria sp.
Lineage: Bacteria; Bacillati; Actinomycetota; Actinomycetes; Micrococcales; Micrococcaceae
Description: partial 16S ribosomal RNA
Rfam family: Bacterial small subunit ribosomal RNA
Source: RNAcentral